This 253-nucleotide ribosomal RNA is filed under the name uncultured Chroococcidiopsis sp. RNAcentral's name for it is "partial 16S ribosomal RNA". It matches the Rfam family "Bacterial small subunit ribosomal RNA", at positions 524 to 776 of the family's 1533-position model. Lineage: Bacteria; Bacillati; Cyanobacteriota; Cyanophyceae; Chroococcidiopsidales; Chroococcidiopsidaceae. The record is from RNAcentral.
UACGGAGGAUGCAAGCGUUAUCCGGAAUGAUUGGGCGUAAAGCGUCCGCAGGUGGCCAUUCAAGUCUGCUGUUAAAGCACAGGGCUCAACCCUGGAUCGGCAGUGGAAACUGAACGGCUAGAGAGUGGUAGGGGCAGAGGGAAUUCCCAGUGUAGCGGUGAAAUGCGUAGAGAUUGGGAAGAACACCAGUGGCGAAGGCGCUCUGCUGGACCACAACUGACACUCAGGGACGAAAGCUAGGGGAGCGAAUGGG